UCUCUGUUGAAGCUGAUGUGUAUGCUGG
RNAcentral lists this non-coding RNA (28 nucleotides) under Bombyx mori (domestic silkworm). Lineage: Eukaryota; Metazoa; Arthropoda; Insecta; Lepidoptera; Bombycidae. The record is from RNAcentral.